This 459-nucleotide ribosomal RNA is filed under the name uncultured bacterium. RNAcentral describes it as "partial 16S ribosomal RNA". It matches the Rfam family "Bacterial small subunit ribosomal RNA", at positions 339 to 795 of the family's 1533-position model. The record is from RNAcentral.
CUACGGGCGGCUCCAGUGAGGAAUAUUGGUCAAUGGGCGAAAGCCUGAACCAGCAACGCCGCGUGAGGGAAGAAGCUCUAAGGAGUGUAAACCUCUGUUCAGAGGGACGAAUGGUUUCGAUUGUCUCGAGAUUUGACGGUACCUCUGGAGAAAGCCCCGGCUAACUCCGUGCCAGCAGCCGCGGUAAUACGGGGGGGGCAAGCGUUGUCCGGAAUUAUUGGGCGUAAAGGGCGUGUAGGCGGGAUAGUAAGUCAGUGGUGUAAUCUUAGGGCUUAACUCUAAGUCUGCCUCUGAAACUGCUGUUCUUGAGUGCGAAAGAGGGAAGCGGAAUUCCCGGUGUAGCGGUGAAAUGCGUAGAUAUCGGGAAGAACACCUGUAGCGAAGGCGGCUUCCUGGUUCGCUACUGACGCUGAUGCGCGAAAGCAUGGGGAGCAAACAGGAUUAGAUACCCGCGUAGUC